GUGGGAGAAACUGUCCGAGGUGAUCUC
This 27-nucleotide small RNA is filed under the name Bombyx mori (domestic silkworm). RNAcentral's name for it is "ovarian small RNA-17927". The record is from RNAcentral. Lineage: Eukaryota; Metazoa; Arthropoda; Insecta; Lepidoptera; Bombycidae.